UACGUAGGGUGCGAGCGUUAAUCGGAAUUACUGGGCGUAAAGCGUGCGCAGGCGGUUUUGUAAGCCAGAUGUGAAAUCCCCGGGCUUAACCUGGGAAUGGCAUUUGGGACUGCAAGGCUGGAGUGCGGCAGAGGAGACUGGAAUUCCUGGUGUAGCAGUGAAAUGCGUAGAGAUGUGGAGGAACACCGAUGGCGAAGGCAGCCUCCUGGGCCAGCACUGACGCUCAUGCACGAAAGCGUGGGGAGCAAACAGG
RNAcentral lists this ribosomal RNA (253 nucleotides) under uncultured bacterium. Its description in RNAcentral is "partial 16S ribosomal RNA". It matches the Rfam family "Bacterial small subunit ribosomal RNA", at positions 524 to 776 of the family's 1533-position model. The record is from RNAcentral.